This 286-nucleotide ribosomal RNA is filed under the name Escherichia coli. RNAcentral describes it as "partial 23S ribosomal RNA". It matches the Rfam family "Bacterial large subunit ribosomal RNA", at positions 1273 to 1562 of the family's 2925-position model. Lineage: Bacteria; Pseudomonadati; Pseudomonadota; Gammaproteobacteria; Enterobacterales; Enterobacteriaceae. The record is from RNAcentral.
CUGGAGGUAUCAGAAGUGCGAAUGCUGACAUAAGUAACGAUAAAGCGGGUGAAAAGCCCGCUCGCCGGAAGACCAAGGGUUCCUGUCCAACGUUAAUCGGGGCAGGGUGAGUCGACCCCUAAGGCGAGGCCGAAAGGCGUAGUCGAUGGGAAACAGGUUAAUAUUCCUGUACUUGGUGUUACUGCGAAGGGGGGACGGAGAAGGCUAUGUUGGCCGGGCGACGGUUGUCCCGGUUUAAGCGUGUAGGCUGGUUUUCCAGGCAAAUCCGGAAAAUCAAGGCUGAGGC